RNAcentral lists this ribosomal RNA (564 nucleotides) under Triticum aestivum (bread wheat). RNAcentral's name for it is "partial small subunit ribosomal RNA". The record is from RNAcentral. Lineage: Eukaryota; Viridiplantae; Streptophyta; Magnoliopsida; Poales; Poaceae.
GAGAGAUCUUUUUCUGAAGAUGAAAUCAAACAAGCUAUAAUGAGUUCUUUUGCCAGUGGUGCUCCUGGCCCUGAUGGCCUUUCUUUUUUAUUCUACCAAACUUUCUGGGAUUUAAUUAAAGAGGAUUUUAUGUGGAUGGUUAGAGAUUUUGAGAUUGGUGUUCUAGAUAUGUAUAAGCUGAACUAUGCCAUCAUUACCCUCAUUCCUAAAGUUCCUAUGGCUAGAGAUAUGAAAAACUUUAGACCUAUUAGUUUAAGCAAUUGUGCUGUUAAAAUUUUCUCCAAGGCCAUGACCACUAGGGUCUCCCCUUUGUGUGACAAACUUAUUUCAUCUAACCAAACUGCCUUUAUUAAAGGUAGGUUCAUUUUGGAAAGUGUGGUUAUGGCUCAUGAGGUCAUUCAUGAGAUUCAUAGGUCUGGUUCCAGUGGUUUAAUCCUUAAGCUAGACUAUGAGAAAGCCUAUGAUAGAGUAAGUUGGGAUUUUCUGAAGGAAAUGCUUCUUUCUAGAGGCUUUGGCAGUAAAUGGGUGGGGUGGGUGAUGUCUACUAUUCACCAGGGGACAUUC